AACUGUGUCCUCCACCAGCUCAUCCAGAAGCAUCUUUCCAUGCAUGGGGUCAGAGAUGCUGUGAAACUGGUGAGCAUUUCUGAGGAGGUGGAGGAUCUUUGUCAACUGGACAAGCUAAUCGACUUGAUUAUCCCAUGAAGCCCAUCCCAGCUGGUGAGGGACAUUCAGUGGGUGGCCAAGGGUAUCCUGGUGUUGGGUCACAACGAAGGAAUCUGUCCCAUCUACGCUGAUGCAGACGCCAGCACUGACAAAGUCCUCAAGAUUGUUUCACCAGAUGAAGAUUCAUGCUGGCCCUCGGUUUGUCUCCUACCUGACGUUCCAGUGUGAGUCCGGUGAGGGGACAGCACCAUUUAAAAUUUAGUGUAUAUUUUAACAGUUUAAAAGCAUUGCUCUGCUGUUACUUUGGGGCACGUUUAAAUACGAUUGUCUUUGAAGUGAGCCAUCACAAUGCAGCUCUCUAACUCAUGCUAGUAGACACAAUUCUGUGCAGCGUCUUGAGUAUUUCUGGACUUAAAACCCGUUGGCCAUCUUGCAUGCGGACAAUGUGGAAGACUAACUCUGCCAGUUAAUUUGACAGUUCUAACCAAUAUCAUGAAGGUGUUCCAUUGACAAUCUAUCUCUUGUACUUUGUAUUGCUCACAUAGUGACAUUCAUAUCACGCAUAUACUGCAACAAAAGCAACCAUGUAAAGAUGAAAAACAAAGAAAUAGGCAUUGAAAAACAGAGGUACAAACACUUCAUUAAAAGGGAAGAUAGGCAUGUGUUGAAUAACUGACGUUUGGUCACUUAGAAAACACUACAGUGAGCAGCAUUGGCAAAAUUUGAGGACAAAGUGCUGUUGACAUUUCUACACUGAGGAUUAUUUCACCUGCUGUGGAGGAUGUGCUGCUGCCAUCUAGUGACCACAGAAGGUACCUCUGACUAAAUGUGCUUGUUUGUCUGUCACCUAAUUUUUAAAGUUGAUCAUUGCGAGUUAUGAUUAGAUGUAUAAAUAGAUGACAAAGUUUAUUAAUCAGCCAUAAGGAGAAAAACCCUCCAUCUUUUGGUGGUGAAUUUGAAACCUAAGUUUAUUCACUCAAUAUAAUAUUUGUAUAUGAACUGACACCUAAUUUGGUGUAUUUCAUUAUUAAGGCAGCGAAAAACCCACUAAUUUCUCCUGAUGACAUGUUGGUUAGUCUACAUCAUCCUGUCUAGUAUGUUUGUGGAUUGAUGUUCACAGCUUACUGAUUUAAGAGCUUAUUGCACUGGUGUGUAUUAAGAUGACAUGGGCACAGUUAUUUGUGAUUGUA
Monopterus albus (swamp eel) is the source of this 1289-nucleotide long non-coding RNA. RefSeq lists it as uncharacterized. The record is from RefSeq and is a predicted model, not a curated record. Lineage: Eukaryota; Metazoa; Chordata; Actinopteri; Synbranchiformes; Synbranchidae. The transcript is spliced from 3 exons.